GCAUCGGUGAUUCAGUGUUGGAAUGCACGCCUGCCACGCUGGCGGCCCGGGUUCGUUUCCCGGCCCAUGCA
Molecule: non-coding RNA, 71 nt
Organism: Heligmosomoides polygyrus
Lineage: Eukaryota; Metazoa; Nematoda; Chromadorea; Rhabditida; Heligmosomidae
Source: Rfam